Long non-coding RNA from Lathyrus oleraceus (garden pea), 1067 nucleotides. RefSeq lists it as uncharacterized. NCBI's taxonomy places the organism in Eukaryota, Viridiplantae, Streptophyta, Magnoliopsida, Fabales, Fabaceae. The transcript has 2 exons. The record is from RefSeq and is a predicted model, not a curated record.
UCGACCCAACCCAAACAACAACGAAACAAAGGAUUCAGUAAAAUGAACCAUAGCAUUUCUCAAAAAAGGAAAUCAUCGUCUCCCUAAUCUUCUUCCAGUCUCCUCAAUUUUCUGAAACAAGCGUUAUACUGAGAAUGAAACUCAAACCGCAUGACUAAAUCACCCUAUUUCGGUUCAAAGAACUCUCUUUCUCAGUUCAAAAACCUUUCUCUCAGUCCUAAAUCUAACAAAUCUCAGUUUGAAAUCUCCCUCACAUCUCACCAAAAUGGUUGACCGCCUCCUACCCCUCCCUCAACUUAAACGUCACUACACAAUCGAAUAAACAAAGAGUCUAAGCAAUAGCAAAAAACAAAACUAAACAAAGUUCAACAAAUGAAUUCGCUCAGGCUAUUCGCAGCAAAAAGAGCUCAUGAACAAACUAACGAAAACGGAAAUAGAGAGCACAUGAUAGAAGUCAACCAGACAACAACAAGCAGGAAAACAAUUAAACCGAAAUCAACAUGUCAAAAUCCUACCCCUACUCAGUCCAUGGCCUUAUUCAUCAUAUGUUUCUUUUGUCUGUCAAAUUUGUAUAAGCAGUGAUUAUGAUUAAUUGGAUUCAAUCAAGUAGAAAUAAAACUAGAAGCAAGAAGAGAACAGGGGUCUACCGAAAAAGGAAAAAAACUGUGAGAGUGCAUUCAGGGUUGAAAGUAGCUUGAAGAAAAUGGCAUGGUGGUAGUUAACUUGUUUGAUGAUGAAGAAAUAAAAAGGAAAAUAAAAGAAAACUUGAAUAAGAUGAGGACACUUGAAGCUUAAACCCUAGGAUUUUAUUUUGAAAAUAGUUUUUUUUUUGAAAUUCCUUAGGAAUCAAAGAAACUUGUAAAAGCUUGUACAUUAUGUAGUUUUGUUUCAAGAUGUAAAAUAUAGCUUAAAAGGAUAUGAUAGCAUUUAUGGAGACAUCAGAUUUGAUUUUUCAGAACAUAUGUUGAAACAUUUAAGGAAACAUUUGAUUUUAUUUUGUAGAAGACUUUGCAGACGGUAUGUCGAAACAUUUAUCGAGACAUCAGAUUUGAUUCUGCAGAAGAUUA